Molecule: long non-coding RNA, 749 nt
Organism: Mustela erminea (ermine)
Lineage: Eukaryota; Metazoa; Chordata; Mammalia; Carnivora; Mustelidae
Exons: 4
Source: RefSeq, a predicted model, not a curated record
UAUUCGCGUCCGGCGUGGACAAGGACAGUGUCGUUCUCAAGAGAGGCCGCCGGAGGGCGCGAGAGGCCGCGCAGGGAAGAGGCUAGCUCAGCUGGCGCGCGGAGGUUGGACUUCCUAGGGAGGAAUUGAGGGACCUGAUGGUCCGGUUUCGAUGGCAACUCCGGGGUUUCCCUUUCCUUUUCGCCGCCUCCGCGCCGCGCGAGACCCUAUCUGGAGGCGCACGUUCCUGGCCCCAUUAGGCCUCGUUCCCAGGUUGCGGGACUGCGGGCCCUCCGCCCACCUUCCUUCCCCACAGCCCGAAGGCGGCCCUCGGCGCCACACGUGGCCCCGGCCCUGAGGGAGCUGGGGACGCUGCCGAAGGAGAGCGCGCAGUCCUGCGGCUUCCUCACGCAGGGGUGUCGCAACCACUGCCGCUUCCUAACCGCCCCUGUUCUCCGGGAAUUGGGGACGCAGUCAGGAAAGGGUGGGAAGUGGUCGCGAAGCCCUCCCCACCCCCACACCCCGGCCGACUCCUGCUCUGCGGCGGCGGUUUCGAGGUCACGCUCCCGAAGCAGCCCACCCGGCCCGGCAGACGAGGGUUCUUUCAUUGGCUUACGAAAGGGAGAUUAGAAGACUUGCUUUCUCAAUCUUCCAACAGCUAAAGAUGCUGAAAAAUACGACAUUGAACUUAGUAUCAGAGGAUUCUCUGACUCAGGUUCCAUCUUGCAAAGCUAGAAGUUGAUAACAGAGCUCAGGUCAUGAUCUCAGGA